GUACAUUGGGGCUGGAGGUGUGGCUUAGGUGUUUGGAAGGAUUUUCUAGAUAAUUAAGCCACACCUCCAGCCCCAAUGUACUU
Molecule: microRNA precursor, 83 nt
Filed under: Marmota monax (woodchuck)
Lineage: Eukaryota; Metazoa; Chordata; Mammalia; Rodentia; Sciuridae
Source: RNAcentral